Molecule: long non-coding RNA, 319 nt
Organism: Psammomys obesus (fat sand rat)
Lineage: Eukaryota; Metazoa; Chordata; Mammalia; Rodentia; Muridae
Exons: 3
Source: RefSeq, a predicted model, not a curated record
CGGCUGACUGGGUGGGAUGCGCUCAUAGUCUUGUGCCCCGGAGGGGCUUCUGCGCCCACAGCAGCCCAGAGCAACCGGGUUGUCUUAUGUUGGCCUGCGUGUUCCCUCCCUGUCCUCCCCAGCGAACCGGUGGCAUUACAGAAUCAGUAUGGAGAUGACCUGAAAAGCUGAGAGUGGACCUACAGUAUGACCCAGCUGUCCCACUCCUGGAUACACAUACCUGAAGGAUUCUGUGUCGACACACCACAGGGAAACUUGAAUGCUCAUGUUUAUUGUUGCACUAUUCACUGUAGCUAAAAAGUGGAACCAGCUUACACGU